GGGGCUGUAGCUCAGUGGUAAAGUGCUCGCCUAGCACGUGUGAGGCACUGGGCUCGAUCCUCAGCACCACA
Molecule: transfer RNA, 71 nt
Filed under: Marmota monax (woodchuck)
Lineage: Eukaryota; Metazoa; Chordata; Mammalia; Rodentia; Sciuridae
Description: tRNA.Ala
Source: RNAcentral